Molecule: transfer RNA, 73 nt
Filed under: Halichoeres tenuispinis (Chinese wrasse)
Lineage: Eukaryota; Metazoa; Chordata; Actinopteri; Labriformes; Labridae
Description: tRNA-Thr
Rfam family: tRNA
About the family: Transfer RNA (tRNA) molecules are approximately 80 nucleotides in length.
Source: RNAcentral
GCAGCAGUAGCUCAACGUUAAGAGCACCGGCCUUGUAAACCGAUGGUUGAGGGUUUAAAUCCUUCCUGCUGCU